Molecule: ribosomal RNA, 281 nt
Filed under: Bacillus sp. TK2.1
Lineage: Bacteria; Bacillati; Bacillota; Bacilli; Caryophanales; Bacillaceae
Description: partial 16S ribosomal RNA
Rfam family: Bacterial small subunit ribosomal RNA
Source: RNAcentral
GGAUGUUAGCGGCGGACGGGUGAGUAACACGUGGGUAACCUGCCUGUAAGACUGGGAUAACUCCGGGAAACCGGAGCUAAUACCGGAUAGUUCCUUGAACCGCAUGGUUCAAGGAUGAAAGACGGUUUCGGCUGUCACUUACAGAUGGACCCGCGGCGCAUUAGCUAGUUGGUGAGGUAACGGCUCACCAAGGCGACGAUGCGUAGCCGACCUGAGAGGGUGAUCGGCCACACUGGGACUGAGACACGGCCCAGACUCCUACGGGAGGCAGCAGUGGUCAU